This 1605-nucleotide long non-coding RNA is filed under the name Macaca mulatta (Rhesus monkey). RNAcentral describes it as "lncRNA (ENSMMUG00000056941.1)". The record is from RNAcentral. Lineage: Eukaryota; Metazoa; Chordata; Mammalia; Primates; Cercopithecidae.
GGCACAGCAAGAGGCUGCCACCAGAGAAGUGAACUCAUGAGAAACAAAGGCACCCAGUUGUCCAGAAACAAAGGGCUCCACACUCCUGUAUGCUGCAUUGGUCAUUUCGUCUCACUCCAAACGGAAGGCAAAGUUAGAAUUUGCUCUUAAGCCUGAAAGUCAAGUCUCCUGACUUUAGAGACAAUCGAGAAGCAAAAGCAAAGGAAGCCGGGGGUGCAGUGGUGCUGGAGUCAGCUUCAGAGACAGCAGCAUGAUUCAGAGAGCCCACAGGCAACUGAGCAGCAUUCUGGAGCCAGGGAGACCCCAGCAAGUGCAGAGGAGGUGAAGGUGUUCACAGGCCCAUGAGGAGAGGAGAGGGACUUGGGCAGUGGCGGCUACCAGGACUCCAUCUGAGAAAGGAGAGCACACUGCAUGGUGAGAGCCUCAGCCAGGGCUUUCCCGGGACAGCUUCUGCAGGAGCAACCAAGCCUGUUUUGUACUGAAAGAACAGAAAAUGGAAGAAACAGAAGCGGUAGCAAAUGGGAAACGCUAAGAAGCCCCAACACCAGGUGGAGGGCCUCUGGCUUCCCAGGUUAUUCGCCGUGCACGAUUGCAUGACUAUGGCCUAUGCUGGUGAAAGAAUGUGAUGUUCAAGUCCCGAAUGAGCCAUUUCAGCUACAAUCAAGUUAUUCAAGCCAUUGGGAAGGGAUCUCAAGAGAUGCAUCAAAAAUCUGCAGACUCCGUAGACAGAGCUUAGUGAAGUGGGAGAUGGCAAGUAACUCAUUUUUUAAUUUCCAUAUUAUUUAGCAUCUUCCAAGUGUGAGACAUUGGACGUUGUGCUAAAUGCUGAGAAAGAAAGAAAGAUGUGAGCUCCUCAAAGAUGACCUCAUAGCUUCACUCUGUUUCCCCAGUGUGUAGUAUACGCUCUGGAACACAAUGGGAUCAAAACGUGUUUACCAAAUGGAAAAAAGAGCGGUGAACAUUGUGUACUCUGUGCCAGGUGCUGUACUGAAAUGCUUCAUAUGCAAUUUCCAAGGGAAAAGACAAAGAUGAAUAUAGAGGCAACAACCAUCCUUCCUAGGGAUUUUUAACUGAGUACUCAGGGCUCAUUAUGAAAUCUCCUGCAAAGAUUUUGUUCAGCUAGAAGAGAAUGUGGAGGAUGGCAUGGGCUUUGUGGAUAGGAAUGAAAGAUAUUUCCAAACAUAGCUGUUGCUUCCUGGACAUCCUUACAAGAGGAUUUGCCUCAGUUGCUGUUUAGAAGUUGUCCUUUAGAUUUUUGUUUGGGUAUAUGAACAUCACAUCUUCUUAGAAGCCAAGGGCAUAAAGAACAGUGGUGUUUCCAGCAUUUGAAGAAAUUCUACUGUCCGGGAAAAGACAAAAUUGUGCAUAACUUACAUUUCUAACAGGUUUUGGCUGGCUUCUUAACUGCAUCCUGUUCUAUCAGCAAGGUCUUCAUGAACUGUAUCCUGUGCCACCUCCUAUCUCAACCUGUGACUAAGAAUGCCUAACCUCCUGGGAAUGCAGCCCAGUAGGUCUCAGCCUUAUUUUACCCAGCUCCUAUUCAAGAUGGAGUCACUCUGGUUCAAAUGCCUCUGACACCUUGAUUAAAUGAGUUCAAAUUCUCAA